Long non-coding RNA from Oreochromis aureus, 1057 nucleotides. Lineage: Eukaryota; Metazoa; Chordata; Actinopteri; Cichliformes; Cichlidae. The record is from Ensembl.
CUCCAGCUGAACGUCGGCAAGACCAAGGAGCUGGUGGUGGACUUCAGAAGGAGUCAGCACAGAGACUACAAGCCCAUUAUCAUUAAUGGAGCUCCAGUGGAGAGGGUGCAGUCCUUUAAGUAUCUUGGUGUCCACUGUGGUCGCAAAUUUUGAAGCCAUUCUGAUAACCUUCUUCCACAAACGAUGUGGAGAUCCAAAUCCAAUUAAAACCAAGACAGUCAAAAAGAUGCUCUGUAAAAGAGUAGAAUUCUUGGAACAGAGUUUAAUACACUGAAUCAUAUGAACAGCAGGAAAAAUACAUACAGACAUUUAGCAAGAAAAUUACAAACAGAAAGCAAGCAAAGCAAAACCCCGGGGUGUACAGCCUUAAGCACAGACAGCAGAGCAACACGGAGACGGACAGGUAGCAGCAGCAGGAGGAAAAGAGCCCUGGGGGCGUCCUCUGGUCCCCUAAUAUAGGGACCAGUAUCGCCGCCCCCUGCUGCUGGGUAACUUUCCCACACGCCCCGCACAGCUGCUGGGGUCAGAUAGCGGCCAAGGUCUUGGCCAAAGGCCAGUCAGGACUCUGAGUACCCCUGCUCUGGCUUAUCACAAUAGGUCAUGACACGGUCAAAGGUCAGAUAUUAAUCCUAAUUAUUAAAUCUUAUUCAGCAAGUGGCACAAUCUUAUAACAUAUAAUACAUAGGUUACAUGCUUAAAAACACUUCAGUUUGGGUUCAGAGUGUGUGUGUGUGUGUGUGUGUGUGUGUGUGUGUGUGUGUGUGUGUGUGUUUUUGUAUGAUAUUUUAUCGUGAUGUGUUCAGGAUCUCUAUUACAAUGUUACUGUUUUGGUUGUGCUGCAUUAAAGACGUUAAAUUAAUUAAUUAUUAAGUAAAUUAUUCAAGAGAACUCUCCCCCUACAUUAACUGCCCUGUUACAGUACCAACUUAAUAAACCUCGGUGAAGCAAAAUGUCUUGUGCUUAAGACUCUACAUGAAAGUUAAAAUAUAUAUGUUCAGUGCACACAGAUAUAUAGUGUAUAUAGUUACAUAGUUAUACAUAUCAAACAAAAAUCCAC